ACUACCUGUAUCCUCCAGCCACUUGUUCUGAGUCCUCUCCUUGUUUUCAUCCUGCCUGGUUGCUGGGGCUCCUUGCAUUUGUUUAUGUGGCUCUAGGACCAGAUUCCUCAGGUGGUAACAGACCAGUAAUCUCCACCCCAUAACCUGCUACUAUAUCCAUUAGCAAGUGGUAAUCCCCUGUUCAGGCAACAGGUUCAGACAUCAGGAGGUGGAUUUUCUCUCCUGUUCUUCCCUAUGCAAAGGCCAGUGCUCUCCCAGCUUCACAGAACCCAAAAUGCCAGCCUGCAAGGAGGAAAACCUCAGGCAAAUCCCAAUGGAGAGGAGCCUUCUGCAAAGUAUCUGACCACUAAUACCCUAGCUGCCACGGCAAUCAAAAACAAAGAAAGUCUGAGAAACUGGCACAGCCAAAGGAAGCUUAAGGAGACAUGACAACUAAGUGUAAUGUGGUGUCCAGAUGGGAUCCUGGAAGAGAAAAAGGACAUUUGGUAAAAAUCAAAGGACUAAGAAUAAAGCAUGGCCUGUAGAUAAUAGCAGUGUAUCAAUAUUGGCUUGUUAAUUGGGACAGAUGUCUCAUACUAAUGUUAAGAUGUCAGCAAAUAAGGAAACUGGGUAUGGGUACUCUCUGUGCUGCACGCACAAUAAUUCUGUAACUCUAAAGCUGUUCUAAAACACGAAGUUUAUUUAAUAAAAAUAUUGAGGAGU
Molecule: long non-coding RNA, 702 nt
Organism: Sus scrofa (pig)
Lineage: Eukaryota; Metazoa; Chordata; Mammalia; Artiodactyla; Suidae
Source: RefSeq, a predicted model, not a curated record